GAUGAACGCUGGCGGCGUGCCUAAUACAUGCAAGUCGAGCGAACGGACGAGAAGCUUGCUUCUCUGAUGUUAGCGGCGGACGGGUGAGUAACACGUGGAUAACCUACCUAUAAGACUGGGAUAACUUCGGGAAACCGUAGCUAAUACCGGAUAAUAUUUUGAACCGCAUGGUUCAAAAGUGAAAGACGGUCUUGCUGUCACUUAUAGCUGGAUCCGCGCUGCAUUAGCUAGUUGGUAAGGUAACGGCUUACCAAGGCAACGAUGCAUAGCCGACCUGAGAGGGUGAUAGGCCACACUGGAACUGAGACACGGUCCAGACUCCUACGGGAGGCAGCAGUAGGGAAUCUUCCGCAAUGGGCGAAAGCAUGACGGAGCAACGCCGCGUGAGUGAUGAAGGUCUUCGGAUCGUAAAACUCUGUUAUUAGGGAAGAACAGAUGUGUAAGUAACUGUGCACAUCUUGACGGUACCUAAUCAGAAAGCCACGGCUAACUACGUG
Molecule: ribosomal RNA, 497 nt
Filed under: uncultured bacterium
Lineage: Bacteria
Description: partial 16S ribosomal RNA
Rfam family: Bacterial small subunit ribosomal RNA
Source: RNAcentral